GCCGUUCUCAAAGACCUGUCAGAUGGCUCUUAUUCCUAACUAUGGUGAUCUCUUACGUGCUAUAAAAUGACAAUAUUCAAAAAAGUCAAAAGGCCAAGCACAGCGCUGCUCAGAGACAUAAUUAGAGGUAAAAAAAGAUUUUUUACGGCAUCCUUCUUCUCCUCAAAGCUCCAAUUUCACCUAUAAAAGGUAAUUUAGGGA
This 201-nucleotide long non-coding RNA is filed under the name Elaeis guineensis (African oil palm). RNAcentral describes it as "long non-coding RNA (EGUI_LNC028011)". The record is from RNAcentral. Lineage: Eukaryota; Viridiplantae; Streptophyta; Magnoliopsida; Arecales; Arecaceae.